GCUUCAGUAGCUCAGUUGGUUAGAGCACCUGACUGUUAAUCAGGGGGUCGUUGGUUCAAGCCCAUCCUGAAGCGCUA
Molecule: transfer RNA, 77 nt
Filed under: Muribaculaceae bacterium Isolate-080 (Janvier)
Lineage: Bacteria; Pseudomonadati; Bacteroidota; Bacteroidia; Bacteroidales; Muribaculaceae
Also listed under: 1 other name
Description: tRNA-Asn
Rfam family: tRNA
About the family: Transfer RNA (tRNA) molecules are approximately 80 nucleotides in length.
Source: RNAcentral